GGGGUUGUGGCUCAGUGGUAGAGCACUUGCCUAGCACAUGCAAGGCCCUGGGUUCGAUCCUUAGCAACACAU
Molecule: transfer RNA, 72 nt
Filed under: Ictidomys tridecemlineatus (thirteen-lined ground squirrel)
Lineage: Eukaryota; Metazoa; Chordata; Mammalia; Rodentia; Sciuridae
Description: Spermophilus tridecemlineatus (thirteen-lined ground squirrel) tRNA
Rfam family: tRNA
About the family: Transfer RNA (tRNA) molecules are approximately 80 nucleotides in length.
Source: Rfam by way of RNAcentral